Molecule: ribosomal RNA, 466 nt
Filed under: uncultured bacterium
Lineage: Bacteria
Description: partial 16S ribosomal RNA
Rfam family: Bacterial small subunit ribosomal RNA
Source: RNAcentral
GACGAACGCUGGCGGUGUGCUUAACACAUGCAAGUCGAACGGUAGGGCCCUUUCGGGGGUACACGAGUGGCGAACGGGUGAGUAACACGUGAGUAACCUGCCCUCAUCUCUGGGAUAACAGUCGGAAACGGUUGCUAAUACUGGAUAUGAGCUUGCAAGGCAUCUUGUGGGUUGGAAAGAUUUUUUUGGUUGGGGAUGGACUCGCGGCCUAUCAGCUUGUUGGUGAGGUAGUGGCUCACCAAGGCUUCGACGGGUAGCCGGCCUGAGAGGGCGACCGGCCACAUUGGGACUGAGAUACGGCCCAAACUCCUACGGGAGGCAGCAGUGGGGAAUAUUGCACAAUGGACGGAAGUCUGAUGCAGCAACGCCGCGUGCGGGAUGACGGCCUUCGGGUUGUAAACCGCUUUCAAUUGUGACGAAGCUUUUUGUGACGGUAGCAGUAGAAGAAGCACCGGCUAACUACGUG